AUUUACGUCAAAAUGUUGUGUCAUAUUGAAAAUCAUGAUGUCAUAUACGUCAUUGUAAUUACAUCGUUUAAUCAAUGUCGUUCAAAUUUUCGGAUGCAUGCAAGCCCCAUCAAGUGCCCGGAAUGACCCUGGCGCGUGUGCAGCACACAGCAAGGAUCGUCCGUAAGCGUGCGAAAUUUGUGGACUGGCUUUCGUGCGGAAGCAAACGCCUUUGGAGCAUCGGCUGAAACAUUCGGAUAUUCUGACCAAUUCAUGCCGUCACUGUACUGAAAAGUUUAUAUAUUGUGUAUGUUUCUCGAAGCACGGGCGGACGUACAGCAGCGGAUGCAAACAACACGAGCCGAAGACGGCCACCAAUUGAAUAAUGACCUUAAGAAGGAAUCUACCGAUAAUGUUUAGUGAAAUUUGGAUUUAACACAAACGGUCUUUGUCGGUAUUUUGCCUAACGCUACUAAGUAAGGUUUUUCUCAAUUAAUGCACUGUGUUUAAAGAUAGAACUGCUGUAUUGUGUGAAUACAAUUAUAUUUAUACCUAA
Long non-coding RNA from Wyeomyia smithii (pitcher-plant mosquito), 535 nucleotides. RefSeq lists it as uncharacterized. The record is from RefSeq and is a predicted model, not a curated record. NCBI's taxonomy places the organism in Eukaryota, Metazoa, Arthropoda, Insecta, Diptera, Culicidae. The transcript has 2 exons.